This 247-nucleotide ribosomal RNA is filed under the name uncultured bacterium. Its description in RNAcentral is "partial 16S ribosomal RNA". It matches the Rfam family "Bacterial small subunit ribosomal RNA", at positions 333 to 578 of the family's 1533-position model. The record is from RNAcentral.
GGCUCCCUACGGGGGGCAGCAGUGAGGAAUAUUGGUCAAUGGGCGAGAGCCUGAACCAGCCAAGUCGCGUGAGGGAUGACUGCCCUAUGGGUUGUAAACCGCUUUUGUUCAAGGGAAAGGCACGGUCUUUGGCCGUGUUGAGUGGAUUGUUCGAAUAAGCACCGGCUAACUACGUGCCAGCAGCCGCGGUAAUACGUAGGGGGCAAGCGUUAUCCGGAUUUAUUGGGCGUAAAGGGCUCGUAGGCGG